RNAcentral lists this long non-coding RNA (352 nucleotides) under Androctonus crassicauda. The record is from RNAcentral. Lineage: Eukaryota; Metazoa; Arthropoda; Arachnida; Scorpiones; Buthidae.
GCGAAGCAGAACUGUGUUGUAGAUACGUUGAUGACAUCUUGGUCGUGUGGGAUGGCGAGGAUAGCGUCAAUCGAUUGGAGGGGGAAUUUGCGAUCCCAGCUUGUGGCCUGGAUCUCCAACUUGAUCAAAUCAGUGGGGAUGGGCUGCAUUUUUUGGACCUUGACAUCUCUAUUACGGGCGGUUCCAUCGAGGCUGCGGUGUGUGGAGGGCCCACUGGUGCGACUGUGCUGGUCCCACGCUGGUCCAAUGAUGGAUGGGUGCGCGGGGGGGCCGCAUUGGGGUCGCUGCUGCUGAGAGUGGCGGCACAUUGCACUGCAGAGCGGGCCACCCAAGACGAGCUGAAGCGUGUCAU